RNAcentral lists this transfer RNA (95 nucleotides) under Candidatus Stercoripulliclostridium pullicola. RNAcentral describes it as "tRNA-Ser". It matches the Rfam family "tRNA". From Rfam's summary of the family: Transfer RNA (tRNA) molecules are approximately 80 nucleotides in length. Lineage: Bacteria; Bacillati; Bacillota; Clostridia; Eubacteriales. The record is from RNAcentral.
GGAGAGAUGGCGGAGCCCGGUUGAACGCGCACGACUCGAAAUCGUGUAAGCCCCUAAUAAGGGCUUCGUGGGUUCGAAUCCCACUCUCUCCGCCA